This 17212-nucleotide long non-coding RNA is filed under the name Olea europaea (common olive). Its description in RNAcentral is "long non-coding RNA (OEUR_LNC005145)". Lineage: Eukaryota; Viridiplantae; Streptophyta; Magnoliopsida; Lamiales; Oleaceae. The record is from RNAcentral.
AAGAAAAUGAGAUGAAUUCUGAGGGGGUUUCAAGUGGCAAUUUGACAACAUUGGACACAACAAAAACACUAUCAGAUUGUGAUAUUUUUAAUAUGAAUGAGGAUUCAGAGACAAAUAUGGAAGGAGUUUUGCUGUCACCACAACCUCGUUUAGACUACAGUUUCGGCUGGGAUGAUUUGGAAAACGAUGAUGCUGAGAUGGUGCUUUGGAGCUAUUCUAUUUGAUGUCAUAGUAGUUUCGGAUAGUAAAGUGCGUAAAACACAAAAAUAAAGAAGCAAGAUAUAGUAUAUGGUGAAUGGAGAGUAGGUGAGUCAAGUUGAUCUGGUAUUUGGUUUUGAAGUCCAAUCACCCAGACUGCUUAUUAUAAGACAAAAAGUAAGAGGAAAAAAUAUCAGGCAAGUAAGAGUGUAAAACCGACUUAAGAGUGGUCCACAUAUCCCAUAUCCCACUACUUCAACAACUGACCCAAUGUUUAAAAAUCACAUUUGAUAACUACCCAUGUUCUAAGGACGUGCAAAAAAAAAAAAAAGAAUACUCUGUGAUGGGCAGAGCAUUUAUAAAAUGCAUUCGGAAGGUCCCUAAGAUCAUUUUCAUGUUCAGUUUGUAUGCACCAUCUAAGCAGUGAGAAAGAGAGCUUAGAAGAGCCUUAACCCGCAGCUAAACACUACCUACAAGCUUGAGUGAGUGCGUCAAGAACGGCAAUGGCAGGAUGUUCGUUUUCGAUCCAUUUUACUCUGCAUUGAUCUAAAUGUUAUUUUGUUUAUUAAAACAUGUUUAGAUCGCUUAAGGUGACUUACAUUUGAUAUCAGAGCCUUCGUUUUGCCUUUGCCUUGUUUGUUCUUAGCCUGCACACAUUCUGUUGAAAAUUUUGGCAUUUGAUUUAGUCUGUUAUAUAGAAACUGAGAUUAGGAAUCAUUAGGAAAUCGAUUUAUGAGAAUUUUGAUAUAAAAUAUGAGAGAUUUGGUGGUCGGAAUCAUGAGAUAUGAAAGGGUUUUUCAUUCGGGUUGAAACCGGGUUACAUCGACCCGUCGGGAGGUUGAAGAUAACCUCUAUUAAAAAAAAAAAAAAUAAAAUAAAAUAAAAUAGUAAACAGUCUUUUCAAACUUGUUUGCAAGGAGACAUGGCAACUUAUGUUGACAUGCAGUGGCCCUUCCUUGUCUCUUACUAGUUAAGGUACAAGAAUGGUUUUUGUUUUAACGAUUAGUUUCUAGCACGUGAGCCCACUUGUAUGAAAUAAAGGCCGUCGUUGAUAUAAUAGAAAUUGAAUGUUUAAUAUUAUUAUUUCGGAUUACUUUAAUAAAAUUUUGGACUUGUACUAGUACCAGUCGAAAAUUUUGAAAUUGUAUCUCUUUGUGGACCCAUGUGCUGGAAAUUAAUGAGAAUUAUUUGGUGAUUUUGUUUUCAUAUGUACUAAACUUAUUUUGCCCCCAUUUAGCCAUCAUUUUCCUUCUCAUUAUUUUUCUCUCUUAUUUUUAACUACAUAAUCAUUCAUAAAAUAAUAUUAAACUCAAAUAAAAAACUUUUCAUUUUUCUCAACCACACAUUUUUAAAAAAAACACUAUUCCAACCAUUAAAAUUUAGCAAGAAUGGGGGCCAAACAGGUGUUAUAUUGUUUUGUAUGUAUAAUUUUUAUUGUUUUGUUAUAUAUACAAUAUUGAGUUAAAUAAUUUAGUACAUUAAAAUUUAAUUUUUGUGUUCAUAUUGCUUAUGGUUUUGUGCAAUUUAUAUGAGCAUAUUUUUGUGAAUUAAAUUAAAAGUUGAGUGACCAUAUAAUUUAAUUAAUUGGGGAGUAGCCACAUCAUCCUUAAUUAUACAAAAUUAUAUAUUAAAUGUAUAGGAUCACAUAUUGAAUAAAGACAUUAAUUGUGGUUAAUCAUAUUUAAUAUAAUGAAUAUUAUCCCACAAGAAUUUUAUUAUAUAUCUUUGAUUAAUUAAGAUAAAAUAUCAAACUAUAUUUUCUAAUUUGCCCCCAAGGAUUAGAAACGGGAACAUAAUUUGAUAGUUUUAUUGUGUAGUUAAAAUAAAUCUAAUUGAAUUAGAACUUUAGCCCACAUGCAAGUCUUAUGUCACUAGAUUCAUAUUUUGCAUGAUUUUAUAUCUGUAAAACAUGUCUUAUGUUAUGUUAGCUUCAAAUUUUGUAAAAUGAGCAUGAAUGUUUGAUUUAUUGCAGCAAGUCAACUUGUUAAUUUCUCUAAUAUAAAAAGUGAUUUUCCCGAGCUGAAAGGGGAUUGUUAUAAGGCCUGGAAGGAGAGAAUUCUCAAUCACUUGGGAUGGAUGGACAUAGAUUACGCCAUAAGGAAGGAAGAGCCCCCUAUAGUAAUCACUACCAGCACUUCAGAGGCAGUUCAACUUUAUGAAAAGUGGGAGCGAUCUAAUCGUCUUUCCGUUAUGUUCAUAAAGACGAAAAUAUCUAAUGGUAGUAGGGGCUCCAUCGAGUAGUGUGACAAAGUCCAAGAUUUGCUUAAGGCCGUUAACAAACAAUUCGUCACUUCAUAUAAAGCGAUGGCCAGCACUCUCAUUAUGCAGUUUUCAUCCUUGAAGCUCAUCGACAUUAAGGUUGUGCGUGAUCAUAUCAUGCGCAUGAGAGAUAUAGCAACCCAACUCAAGACAUUGGAAGUUGAGAUGUCCGAAUCACUCCUGGUUCACUAUAUCCUUUGCACUUUGCCUCAACAAUAUGGCCCAUUCAAGAUCACCUAUAACACACAUAAAGUUAAUAGUCCAUUAAUGAGUUGUUGACCAUGUGUGUUCAGGAAGAGGGCACACUACUUAUAGAGGAAGGUAAAAAGGAAAAGAUGUAUUUGACAACUCCAGGAAAGAAAAAGAAAGAUCGGGCCAAGGACAAGGGGAAGGGAAAAAUCCAUCCUCAAAAUGACAUUAAGAAGGAGAUUGUGUGCUUCUUUUGCAAGAAGAAGCGGCACGUUAAGAAGCAAUCCUCCAAGUUCAUGAAGUGGCUUGACAAAAAGGAUACUCAACUCUCACCUGUUUGUUUUGAAUCCAAUAUGAUUGAUAUUAAUCAUAACACAUGGUGGAUUGAUUCUGGUUCUACGAUCUAUAUGACCAAUUCAUUGCAGGACUUGGGGUACUUAGUACUCUAAAUUUUACGGACUUUGGGACUUGUAUAGACUACAUUAAGGGAAAGUAGACUAACAAGUCAAAAAAGGGUGCCAAGAGAAGCUCUAAAUUAUUGAAAAUCAUAUUCACAGAUAUUUGUAGUCCAGACAUGGAUGCAUACCACGAUAAAUACUUCAUCUCUUUUAUAGAUGAUUACUCGCGAUACAUGUAUCUCUACUCGCUUAACAGUAAAAAUGAAGUACUAGGUGCUUUUAAGGUAUUUAAAGCUGAAGUAGAGAAACAUUAAUGCGGUAAAAUAAUUAAGAUAGUGAGAUCCGAUAGAGGUGGAGAAUAAUCUAAUGAAAAAAUUAGGCUCUAAUCAUAAGUCAAUUAUAACGAGAGGAACUAUGAUAUUGACAUGAUGCGUGAUAGCAUUUCUACAAAAUUGGGAAGAACUUUAUUCUCAAUUAAUUGGAGAAGUUUAAAGAAUAAUAGUGUUAAAGAAUUUGUUGACAUCAUAACUAACACUUAUUAAAAUAUUGUGAUUUUUAAUCACUAACAUUAACAAGACAUUGUCUUGAUUGUAUACUCUAAAAAUCAAGCUCAUAAUUCUAAAUUUGAGCAGUAAUUUCACAAACUUCUUACCAACACCAUGCAGUCAUCUAGUAUAUGUAACAAAUUUAUUAGAUAUAAACAAUAUUUAGAUGAUCAACGUGGAGGAUGAUGUGGCCUCAUUUAUCACACCAAUCAAUUUUCAGAAAUAUAGGGAAUUCAGUCCCUAUUUUAACUAGUUGUUGUUAAUGAAAGAGAACACACGUCAUAUAUGAUUGAAUUGAAAAUUUUUUUUGGUUCUUUAUUACAUAUCCAUUUGAAUUUUUAAUUUCGCAUCAUUAUUAAUCUAGUGAUGAUCAAACUAGUCAUGCCAAAUAAUAAAGUCGAAUUGAACUUCUUGUUCAGUAUAAAUAUAAUUCAAUUAUUUAGAGGGUAUUUGAGCCGCAUUUUUAAGAAAAAUGCAUUUUAGAAUAGUAGAAUGAUGAGAAAUGUGUGGUUGAAAAAUAUGAAAAUUUUUUAAAUUUACGUGUAAUAUUAUUUUAUGAAGAAUGUGUGGUUAAAAAAAAAACUUGUAUUUUUGAAAAAAUAAGAAUCAAACAAAGCAUUAAUUACAAAAAAUAUGAUUAAACAUUAUAUAAUCAUAUAAUGAUCAAUGUCCACAUGAAAUAAGUUGUAUUUUUUUCUUUAGAGAUAAACACAAAUUCAUAAAUUAUACAUGAUUUAUUUUUCAAAACAUGUGCUACUUUAAGAGUACGGUAUAUUUUAUUUUCGCUUCUUUAGGAGCAACAUCAAUAUUUUUCUGAAAUAUUGGAAUCGUAAUGUCAUACUUCAGGAGCAAUAAUAUAUUAUUAUUAAAAUAAUAAAUUAUAUAAGAAUUUACUCUUUAGGAGGAAAAACAUAAUUUACGUUAGAUCGUAUUUAAUUAUGCUCUUCGAGAGUAAGUGAAAUGUAACAAAAAUAUUUGUCAAUAAUAGUGUGUUGCUUCAUGAGAAAUAAUAUUCUUUUAGAACAAUGUUGUGCUACUAAAGGAGCGCCAAUAAAUUAUUAUUUAAAAAGAUUAAAUCUUCUGGAGUAUGAUUUCUAGACAAAUAUCAACAUUUGAAAAGUUGUACUUCUUCAAAAGUACUUUAUGUUUUACUAUUACUUCUUCAGCUGCAAUAAACCAAUAUCUUCAUUUGAAAUAUAAAAAAUUGAAAUUCAUGCUUUUCAUAGCAAUAUGUCUAUUAUUUUGGAAUAUUGAAAAUUAUGAUUCAUAUUCAUCGAGAGCAAAUAAUAUUUUUUGGAAAUGUUAAAAAAUAUAGUUCAUAUUCUUCAGAAACAAGUAAUAUUCUUCAAAAAUAUUAUUUAUAAUGUUGUGUUACUUCAAGAGCAACUACAAAGUAUUUAUAAUAGAUAGAUGGUUUUAUAAAUGGUUUAACAUACAACAUACAAUUACACUUACCUCGUAAAUUUGAAGAGGGUUUUAUAAACUACGUACGGAAGAUCUUGACCUUAAACAAACGUUUAUGAACUAUGUGUUCAGUGUGGGACAACAUACACACACAACACAAAUAUAUUUUAAAUUAAUCAAUUAUAAUUAUGCAUAUAUAGAUGCACAUAAUUAUAGCAAUACUAUAAUUUAAUCAAUUUCUCGUAAUUAUAUAUAAUUAUACAUAUAUAUGUACGUAAUUUUAGUAAUACUAUAUUUGAAAUCAAUCAACCAUAAUUAUACAUAUACAAAUGCACAUAAUUAUUGUAACAUUAUAUUUAAAUCAAUCAAUUGUAAUUAUAUAUAAUUAUACAUAGAUAGACGUACGUAAUUGUAGUAAUACCAUAUUUGAAAUCAAUCAACCAUAAUUAUGUAUAAUUAUACAUAUAUAGACUUACAUAAUUAUAGCAAUCACAAAAUUUAAAUCAAUUGUUCAUAUAUUAUAUAUAUAGAAAAUUACACUUGUAGUCCCUCAACUAUUUGGGUGAUGUGCAAUUUGAUCAUCUAACUUCAUCCUCUUACACUAAGGUCCUAAUUUUAUAAUUAAUGACUAUAAAGAAAUUUGGUGUAUUACAAUCUAUCCCUAUUAAAACAAAUUUUCAUCCUCGAAUACCCUCUUAAAAUAGAUUUUCAUUCUAAAAAAUUACCUUAGAUAUCAUCAACAAACAGUUAUAUAUAUAUAUAUAUAUAUAUAAAUUUUGUUUGAUAUAUAUAUAUAUCAACAAACAGUUAUUAAUUGGUUGUUAUUAAAUAUAAAUUUUGUUUGUAUAUAUAGAUAGAUAUAGAUUGAUAUAUGUAUAGUUAUAAAUGUAUAUUUGUUAAUAUCUUCACACGAGUAUCUCUCUCUUCCACUCAAAUUAACUACAUUUAAAAAACUUCCACAUAUCCACUCGUCAUUCCAUUUUCCCCACUUAUCCAACUAAUAAGAAAGAUUCCAUCAAGUCCCUUAUAUAUUUAUCUCACAUCACUCACCAUUUCUUUUAUUUUAAUAUUUCAUAACUUGUAUUCCCAUAUUUUAUUACUCAUUUUCUUCCAUAUUUUUGGGUAUCAAAACAACAAAAAAUUGUCCAGUAGCAUUUAAAGUACUCAUUUUAUCUCAACAUUUUUCAUUUGAUUGAAACGCCUUUGAAGGUUAUAAGGUAAGAUAACGACGUACAGGUAGUUUUGUCCUGUUUAAUUUUUUUUAUUUCAUAUUGAUAAAUAUUUUAAUGAUGAUAUGAAACGAUAUGAUAUAUAUGGCCAUCCGAUACAAAUAAUACGAUAUGAUAUGGGCUUUUACCAGCUUUAAAGAUUUGAUACAACGGUACGAUAUAUUUUAAUAUAUGAAUGAUAAAUAUUAUUCGUAUCCUAUUGAGUAUUCCCAUACUCACCCCAAUUUCUCCUACUUCAUAGGUUAGUUCGGGUCGUAUCAAACCGUGGUGAUUCGAUUGGGUGGUUGUGCCUCAUUUAGCUGGACAAAGCUAAAAUUUAAAAUGUAACUUUAUUUCUUUUAAGUUUAAUUGCAAUAGAUAUUAUUCAUAAUUAAAUUCUCAUACAUGUUAUUUGUAUAUGGAUGUAUUUAGUUUGCACUUUUGAUUAAAAGUUUGAAUUUAAUUGUUUGAUGUAGUGGUGUAAUUAUCUUCCGCUCAUUUUUUUUAAAAAUUAAUUGUUUCGUUAGCUGUUGAAUAUGUUAAAAUACAAUUAUCUACUUCUAAUAAAUUGGAUUUCAAAGAGUGUGCGAGUUAGUAGUUAAAAUUGUUGAAUCAUAUAAAAUAUGAGGUUGAAUUUAAAAUUGACCAUUUUUUUAAGCAAACUUUUGGGUGACGACUUAAAAUAUAAAAAAUUGGAUUUCAAUUUUGGUCUGCAUUGUGAUAAAGAAUUAUGUAUGAAUUAUAAAGAUGUUUAUACAUUUAGAAUCUAUGGACAAAUAUAUCAUUAUGUGAAAAAGUUCUUUCUUUUAAUGGUCAUCCUUCAUUUACAGUUAUAUUUCUUUGGAACUAAAAAUUAAAUGCAAAAUUGAUUACAACCUUUUGAAAAAUUGAUCGAACCAAUCGUUUCAAAAUUAAUAUAUAUUUUAAAUGUUAUUCAUUAAUAAAAUGUUUUCCGUUUUCCAAAGUUUAAAUAUUUUUCCUGAUUUAAAAUGUCAUUCUAAUUGAAUAAGAUGCGAUAUUGAACUUGAUCAAAAAAGUGUAAUAUACCCAAGUUAUGCAAUUUGGGUUGAGGACAUUAAAUCAACAAAUAUUAAGACAAGUGAUUAUACUGUUGGACCCAAGGUAAGUCAUGGUGGGUCAUGUGAUUUAAACAUCAUAAUUCAAAUAACAGGGCUGAAAUUUCAUUAUGCAAAAAUCAAGUGUCAAUAUAAUAAUUAAAUAUUAAUCAAUACCCAAUUCAUCUCCAAUCUCAUUUUUGAAAACCUAAAUCUCUCUCUCUAAUCUCUCUCUUCCUUCUUCUCUCUAGUCGCUGUCUCCAUUAUCUGUCAUCGGAUCGGUGGCUCGGUUGAUGUGAAGUUUCUGAGAGAAGCCACCACUACUAGUGCUCCCUUAUCACUUUUCACAUUUAUAGGAAGCUUCGCUCCUGCGCUUUGCCACAACACUCGACAGUGCAGCUGUCUCCCUUCUCUUUGUUAUCGGAUCGACGACGCGAUCGAUGCUGAGUUUCCUGAGAGAAGCCACCGCUGCAGGUGCUUUCUUAUCCCUUUCCAUAUAAACUUGGUUCUUGCGCCUUCCACAUCUCACGACGGUGUCUCCUUGAUUGAAGAGACCUGUGAGCAUGGCUUGAGACACCCAUCAUUUUGUUGUUGUUGGCGGUGUUUAAGGUUGUGUUGUGUCGGGGGACAGUGAUGUUGAUUUGGUGGUGAUGAAGCCAUGCAUCCUACAUUUUUUCCGUCUUUCUAUUGCAACUGAGUGGAAGUGGUGGCGGUGGUUUUGAUGGUUGCGGUGGCAAGGUGGUGAUGGUCGUCAAAGUUAUUGCGAUGGUUGUGGGUGUAGGUGUUGGUGGUGUGAUCACCAGUUGUGUUUGUGUGGAAGUGUAUUGGUACGGUAUCUAGGUGUUUGUUGGUUUUUGGAAUGGUGGUGGAUGUAGUGGUGGUGCCGAGAGGUAGCGAUGACAAUUGGGUGGCCUGCUUGGCUUAGUGCGGUGGCUGUUGUUGAUGUAUUUUAGUUAGGUUUGUUGAAAUUUUGGAGUGGUGGUGGUGGUGGUAGUGGUGGUGGCCAUGGUUGUGAUUGUAUUGUGGCGGGGUAGGGUAGUGUUGGUGACCAAAUAUUGUAGUGGAUCGGGAUCGAGCAUUUGGUGUUUGUGACCAAUUAUUUGGUUUCCUGUGACUAACUAUUAAACUGUGGCCUUAAAAUUUGAUUAGUUGUGACCUAAAAAAGUAAUUUGUGAUCAUCAAAUCUGAAUAUAUGCGACUUGCGACCCAUAAUUUUUUGGACUUGUAAACUGUCGCCUUAAAAUUUGAACAUUUGUGACUUAAAAAGUAAUCUAUGACCAUCAAAUUUGAAAAUAUGUGAAAUGUGACCUAUAAUUUUUUGGAUUUGUAACCAAUGACAUAAAUUGUGACCUGUAAAGUUUUCGAUUUGUGACCUUGACAUAAUUUGUGACCAAUUAAUUUGACUAAUAUAUGACCAAUAAAUAAAUUGUAAUCUAUAAUUAUAUUCAUGCAACCAUUAAUUGUAGAAAUUUGAUCUCAUUGUAUUUAAUUAAUAAAUAUUUUUAAUUAAUUAGCUAAAAUCUUAUUUUUGCAUUAGUUAAACUUAAAACCUGAUUUUUGAAUUGUGCAUAGUUAAACAUGAUUUGUGAAUUUUUCCAUUUUUUUAAUUCACUCUAUUCGGUGCAUGCUUAGGAAAGAAAAUAAACUUUCUUAAUAAAAAAGUAAGUCUAAAUCCAAUUCUCUGGUCAAAACGACCCUCACAAAAAGCCCAAAUCCAAUUCUCUCCAUCCGUUCUCUCGCUACUUUGAAUUGCUCAUAAUCUCUCAUCGGUCGCUUGUAGUCUCACUGCAGUCAAUGGUUACUCCUUUGUAUUAUGUCAUUGUAUUCAAAUAAUUUAUUUGCUACUUUUGGCAAAAACAAAAUUAUUCGACUAUGUGAAUAUUAUUCGGUAGAUUUUGAGGUAGUAGAUAUCUUGAAAUUGAUGAUCAUCUUGAUGCAUAUAUUCUUAACUUGCACAUUGAUGGAAAUUUUGGAGGAUUACAAGGUCUUAAUGAACUUAUAAAGAAGUUGCGAAAAAUAAACAUCAAGUGUAUUCAUUAGCGUACAAGCUUGUGAUAUUGACCUUAAUUCUUCCCCUGGCUACUAUUAAAAUUGAAUCGGAUGAUCAGUGAUUGAAUGAUAGUUAAAAAUGAAGUAAUUAUAGAAUAUUAUCAAAGUAUGAGAAUGUAUAGAAAACAAUUAUAAUAAGAUAUCGCAUGCUUUAAUUUUUUCACAAAUUUUUUUGCAAGUUUGAUUGUGCCCUAACUCAAAAUGCCUACGUUUGCCACUGCAUGAUGUUUACUAUAAAUCUAACAAUAUGUAUGGACUGCAAUAUUAUUUUGUAUGUUAUGAUUAUCUGCAAUACUCACUUUUGUUUCAUCAAGGUGAAACUAGUUGGCACCAUGGUGCUCAAACAGUCGAUAAAAACAACAAUAUUGCAUGAAUUAAGCCCCUUUUUUGUACACGUCAAUUUUUUUCAACUGAAGGAAUAAUUGCAAAUGAAGCAGUGAUAUCUUUUUGAUAAGUUGUUUCCAUUAUGUUGUUGUUUCUGUAGAUUUUGUUUCUCAUAAUUUGUUUAAAUGUUGUAUUAAGAUUUUAGACAUCUAGAUUAUAUUAAUCUGACUUAAUUAUGAGCCGGACUUUAUCAAGUUAUAGUUGAUAUUAUAUAGAUUAGUGAGAGUAUAGGUGAGAAAGUUGGUCGAAGUGUUGUCUCGCCUUAGUCAUAUAUUGGCAGACCUAUUUAAAUUUAUAUAAACUACUUUAUUGAAUUUAAUUUCAGUUCCAAUAUUAUACAAUGACAAAUGAAAAUUCUUUGUUGUGAUAUUCCAUGUUAAUGAUUUUCAAAAAUAAAUUAAGAUAUAUUCAGUAUUAGUUAUUAAUUCGAAGUUUAAAACUAAUUUCUUAUUCAAUUUAAGUUAAAGUUAUGAUUUAUAUCAUUUUUCAACUUUCAAAAUUUCAAAAAUGCUUGCACAAGUGUCUUGGUUUUUGUUGUGGAUGAUCUUUGUCUCUCUCUUUUUUGUUUUAUUUUAUUUUUUUUGAAUGAAGCUUGACAGAAGAGAAUGCAAAUAUAAAUAUUUUUAAUUAAAAUAUAUAGUCUUCGGUAAACAAUGAAAAUUUCAAAAACUAUGUUAUUAAAGUUGUUAGAGUCUCGAUCAUAAGUUAAUCUAUGGAGAAGAUAUGAAAUGAAGAAAAGAAAUUGACUUUUUAAAAUUCUUAAAGAGAUAUAUAAAGUGUUAAUUAUAGUAUUGUACAUGUUGUAAUUCGAUAUUUUUAAUGAAGUGUAUUUUUAUGUGUUUAGCUUUUAUAAUGACAUAUUUAUAUAUUAUUAUAUUAUUUUGGAAAAUAUAUAGUACCCAAUUAUUUUAUUCAGAAGUUGUAUUUUGUACUAUUGAAUAAAAUAUAAAUUUCAAAAAAAUAAUGUGUAAACUGUAAGCCUCUAUUUAGUUUAGACAAAAAUUAAGUUUUAGUAAUAAAAAUUGAUGAAAUAUAUAAUGAAAAAUUAUGAUUUACCAUAAAAUAUAUGAUUAAAAUUAAUUAUUAAUUUUCAAUGAUUUUUUUUUAAAAUUAAACCAAACAAGGGCGAUAUACACACAAUAAAUAUAAUAAAAAUUUUAUUCUGUAAAUUUCCUUCUUGUUGACAUUGAAAUGGCCAAUUGUACCCUCGCAUUUGCUUCCAAACAGGCAAGAAAAGAUGGUUAGAAUUUAUUUUUUUGGGGUCCGAAUAGAUUCGAACUUUUGCUCGAUCAAAACUUCUGGGUUCGACUUGACUUUUUGACUCAGAUCUUUCUCGAGCCGAGCCUAGAGGCCUAGACCUUUGCAGUCUCUUUGGAGUGGAUGAUAGAUUUCCUCCACUGAAUUAAUUGGCCAAUUGUACCCUCGCAAUUGGCUCCAGUCAAGAAAGAAAUAAUUUAUUCUUCACGGUCCCUGAAAUCUGCGAACCAUAAGACAUGAUGUAAACAACCUAGGAAUCUUCACAUCUUAUGAUGAAAUAAAUGUAUGGGGCAUUUGUUUCUCAUUUUUGUAAAAAUGAGAAUGAAAAAUAUAACUCUUAUGGGUAGGGUUGCUCGGCUUGGCCCAUGAAAGCACGAGCUCAGCUCGUCCGAAAAUGGGUGAGCUCGGCUCGCGAGCAAACAUCAUUUUUCCAUUUUUUUUUAAACAAAUAGGUAAAUUGGAAAAUAAAAAAGUAAUUUUAAUUUUUAAAUUAUGAAUUAUAUAUAAAAAAAACUAGGUAAAAAAUUUAAACCCUCCUCCUUUAUCCGGGUUUGGGACCGACUACUUAAAAUGUAGAUGUAUAGUAGUAAUAAUACCAAGUACUAACAAAAAUUUAACUAAAUUGGUGGAAAGGAAUUUUUUUUAUUUAUUUUUUUAACUAAAAGAGAUAGAAAAAAUAAAAAUGAAAUCUUUAUUUUUUUAUUUUUCUUUUUAAAAUAGAUAAACCCUUCUCCUUUAUCCGGGUUUGAGACCGGCUACUUAAAUUUUCAGUAGGCGGAGUUAAAAAUUGUAUACAAACAAUUUUUUGUAGCAUGUACAAUUUUUUAAAGAAAAUUAAAAGUAACGAUAAGAAAAGAAAAGUUUCAUCAAUAUAAUUAAAUCAAAUAUCACUUACUUGACGACAUGUAAUUUCAGCAUAUUUAUCUUGUAGUCGAAAAUGAGCGUCCUGCCAAUCUUUAACGCACAUUAACGCUUCUAAAAUAUCUUCUUUCAGUUGGCUCCUGACCUAGCUCAAAAUGCUUUUACCUGCACUAAAAGCAGACUCCGAAACAAUAGUGCUAACCAGAGAUGUCAGCAGAUUUUUUGCAAUCGCAGAUAUAACUGGCCAACGUCGUUCAUACCUUCACCAGAAUUCAAUUACUUCGUCUGAACUUUUUUUAAUUAUUUUAUCUGUUGGCAUAUUUUGGUUGAAAUAAUCAAUUAAUUCAGCAGGUAAUGCAUUAUGGCUUGAGCCCGUAGAUGUUUGAUGAGAAUGAGAUACAGAUGGUGACGACAUGGCAGUGGCAAUGGUAGUAGAUGAACACAUUGCAGAUGAAUCAAAUCUAUACGAAUUAAUGCCUUGAAAUAAAUUAAAUAUUUCCACACCUUCUUCUUCAAUUUCAGCGGAAGGAGUAGGUGUAGAUGGUACCUGACUAAUAUUGGUACCCAUUCGGUUCGCAUAUAAUUCAUACAUUUCACAUAACGUUUGCUCUAAAUUUCUAUAUGUGAUAGGUGUAUCAAAUGUUAAGGCAUUUGAAAUUUGAUUAAUUAUAUAUUUAGUUCUCGAUAAAUUAUAUCGGGGGUUCAUCACGCAUGCUAAAAGAAAUCAUAUAGGCAAAUCUUCCCAAUAUUUUUUAAAUUUUAAUUUCAUGGCAAUUCUAAUUUCACUAAAAUCAGGGUCAUUUCUGUAUUUAUGAAAUAUUCUUGCAAUUUUAUAAAGAUGUUCAAGCACCAUACAGCUGGUGGGGUAGUAAACGCCCGAUAAGAUCUUAGUGGUUUCAUAAAAAGAUGUCAAAAUUUUUUUAACUUUUAAAACUAAAUGCCAAUCACGUUCGGUCAACAUACCCUCGGCAUCACUUCUAACAUAUCUAUUGUUAUAAAAGUCAAUUAUUAAAUGUUCAAAACCUUCAUAUGACUUUAAUAACAAGUAAGUAGAGUUCCACCUAUGACCUACGUCGCUAACAAAUGUUUUAGCAUUUUGCACUUCUAUUUCGGCACAAUAAUCCUCAAAUGUUUGUUUUCUACUUGGGGAGAUUGUGAUAUAUAUUAGUGCGUUCCUAAUAUUUUGAAGUUCAUCCUUUAUAUGUUUUAAAACAUUUUGGACAAUUAAAUUCAAAAUAUGACAUACACAAUGAAUAUGAAACAAAUACCCACCAAAAUUAGGUUGUAGUACCCUAUGCAAUUUUUCGGCAACUACUUUAUUAACACUAGCAUUAUCGAAAGUAAAUGAACGAAUUUUACCUUCGCAAUGAUAUUCUCAAACAAUACUAAUAAUAUCAUUAAAUAUAUUAUUAGCGUUGUGAGGAAACUCAAUAAUUCUAAAAGCAAUAAUUUUUUUAUGCAUGCACCAAAGUGGGUCUAUAUAAUGUGCAGUUGCAGCUAUAUAUACUCUUUUAUUAAUCCCUUCCCAUAUAUCCAAAGUUAAAGAUAUGACACCCCCAUAUUUUUACAAAUCCAUAAUUAAUUGUUGCUUUGUUGAAGUAAAAUAUUGUAUCGAAAAAAAGAGUGUUUCGACUUACCUCAACGUACCUUGACUGCAGAUAUUCUUUCACAUACGAGACGUAGUGUUGGUUGUCAAUUAAUGUCAAAGGCAACUCAGCACCAACAACAAGUUUCACCAUUUCGAUUCGAGCUUUCUCCUCCGAAUACACCCAUGUGGAUAGGGGUACAGCAGAACCACCAACGUCUGGACUGCCAAAUUGCAAUUGUGUUUAACAGCCUGGAAUAAGUCUGUGUCUGGCUGCACAUACUUUGUAAUGACGGUUGAGAUGAGUGGUACCAAUUCCUCUAUGCCAUGCCAAUCUUUGUUAGCAGUAUUUACAUACUGCUUUAGAUUUUUAGACUCCAUUGACGAUUUUUUCCGUUGAAAUCAACUUAAAGUAAUCCCAACAUUUUGCUUGUUUUUUCUCCUUUCGCUUUCCCCUUGCAUCAAGAAUGUUUAAUUCAGCCUCUUCUUCCUAAUCGUGUUCCGCUUCGGGAAUGUCAACAUCAUCCAAAUUAAUUGGAUUACCGCUUACAUGAUGAUGAAGAUCCAAAUUUGGAAUAUCUUCAGGUAGGGGUACGUCAUUUAGACCUUCAAAUUGAUUCUGAAAUUGACUUUGUGGUGUCAUAUGCGAUUCGUUUCCUCCUACACCGAAUAAGUUUUCGACAAAUGUGCGUGAAUCCAUUUAUUUAAUUAUAAUAAGUAAUAACUAGUUGAAGAAAAAUUGUAUGAAUGUAGUGAGAAAUGAAAAUUGGAUGAAAUUUCAAUAAAUAUAGUGAGAACUGAGAAAUGAGAAUUGGAUAUUGUAUAAAUUGUAUAUAAAAAUUGCAUAACUAUCAACACAAUACAAGAGAGUUGAGAGAAAGAUAAUUGAGAGUUGAGAGUGAAUUGGAGAAAAUUUUGUGGCUAAAUGCCACUAUUUAUAGAAGAAGAAAAGAAAAAAAUUAAAAAAAUUUAAGGACCAAAACGGUCACUGAAAAAAUUCAGUGACCGUUAACGGAAAAAAAAAUUAAUUUAGGGACUGAAACAGUCACUGACAAAAGUCAGUGACCGUUACAUAAAGUGACCGUUUCAGUCACUUUUAAAAACGAGCUCACCAGCCGCUUGCGGGCUCGUCGUGAGCGGCUUCGUUUUUUGUGCGAGUCGAGCGGGCUUGGCUCACCCACCGAACCGGCCCGCUCGGCUCACGCUCGGGCUCGUGUAUUUACGAGCUCAAGCUGCCCAUGAGCUCCGUUUUCACGAGCCGACGAGUCGCUCGGCCCAUUUGCCACCCCUAAUUAUGGGUCCCACACAAGAGAUGAAAAUUCAAAUUUGAAUACUUGAUAUGAUGGAUAGUGGCCAUAUUUUUCAUUUUAAUGGGGAAAGAAUGAAAAACAAACAUGAGCUAUAUUUUCCCUUUUAUCACCCUAAAUUUAUGUAUUUAAAUUUGAGAAAAUUAGAGAAACUACUAAACAACGGCCUGAUAAAGGCAAUAAAGAUCGUGCUGUGCCCAUUGAGACGAGAGAAAUUUCUGUAGGACGGUCGCACCACGUAACAGUGUAAACGUCUUAUCAAGGUGUGCCACCUCAACGGUUGACCCACACACCUCACGCGAUGCGACUGCCCUAUUAAGGUGCGCUACCUAGGCUAGUGGGCCACCACACACCCCCGAGGUGUGUGAUCUCCUGCUAAGGUGGCACCUCAUUGUGGAUGGUACAAUCGUCUCACUGAAGUUUCUCUCCAUUGAUAUAGUUGUGUGAGUCAGACAUUCGUUUAGACGGGUCAAGUUUUUCGCAUAUAAAUUUGUGCUAUUAAAAAUAAGAUUUUAAUCCAAAGCAAAAUUAACAAUUAAUUUUAACAAUGAAUUCACAACUUUUUAACGAUACAUUUUAUCAACUUCUAUCAAAAUUUAGUAAAACUCUAAUUUUAACCCCCAUCAAACAGGAGUUUUACUUUAACUUUGAGGUGAUUUUGGCCUUAAAUCACUUCUAAAUAAUAUAUAUGGGGCCGGUUUGACAUGAUUUUUACUUUAACUUUUAUUGCUUCUAAAAGAGCUUAUUAGAAAAGCUACUUUAAUUUUUGUUUGAAAAGUAUUAUGUAAAAUGAUUCCCUAUUUCUAAAAAUGAGUCAAACUGAACUUGCUUUCUCGAAAAACUCUUUUAAUUAUAAAAAUCACUUUUAUAAAAAUAGUCAACUAAGUCCAAAAAUAACUUUUAGGUCAUGUUUGAGCCACAUUUAAAAAAAAAUACAUUCUUAAACAGUGAUUUGACAUUAUUUCAAUCACACAUUCUUUAAUAAAAUAAUAUUAAAUACAAAUUCAAAACUUUUCUUUAUUUUUUAAUCGCACAUUUCCUAUCAAUACAUAAUUAAAAAAUGCAUUCUAAAAAAAAAUAAUGUGACUGAAAGAAGGGCUUAGAUUUCAAAACUUUCUUUUUAAAUUUUUAAAAGUUAUGUGGGUCCAUUGGAGUUGCAGUGACGAAAGUUAUUACUUUAAAAUUAUCUUUUUGGGAAAUUUCAUGGGCCAUCCAUGUUUCUCCAAAGUUAUGAGGACCUGAUUAGAAUAAAGUAAAGUAAAAAAAAAAGGUUUACUUCAGCUCCUAAAAAAAACAAAAACAAAAACAAAAAAAAAUGGUAUUCCUUCUCUAAACCGGUAAUCGGAUGAUUCUGAUUCAUUUCUUGUUUUUCAAUUUAAAACAUACAAUUUCAAACAUAUGUAAUUUUAUCAGGUCAAUAACUCCUUUUUUUUUAUCGAUAAAUAUAAACUUUAUAGAUCAAUAAUUCCUACAUAAAUGAAAUUGUUAAUUUUCGUCUAAGGGAUUUAGGAGUUGUUUGACAAAACUUUUAUAACAAAUUUGAGAGAUUUUGAUAAAAAUUGUAGAGAUUUUGAUAAAAAUUUGAGAGAUUUUGAUAAAACUUUCGUUUAAGCACUAUUCUAUGCUUUUAAAAACAUUAUUAAAUAGUAUUAAUAAUAUAAUAAUCAUUUACUUAACUAACUACAUUAACAAACUGUCAAGUGGCUCAAAAUAUCCUAAACACUUUUCUCAGAGUUCAAUCCAAACUUUCAUUCUGUGGUACCUAAAAACUAAGAUAUUAUCACAAUCAUGAUGUUGCUGCAUUAGCAUUUAGAGGUCAGUUGGCAUGCCUGAAUUUCGCCGAUUCUGUCUGGUGCUUGCCGGUGCCGAUUUCUGAAGAUGCUAAGGAUAUUCAGAAGGCGGCAAUAGAGGCGCCAGAACUGUUCAGGCCGUUCGAGGGGGGUGGUGGUGGUGGGACAAUAAUGCAAGAAAAUGAGAUGAAUUCUGAGAGGGUUUCAAGUGGCAAUUUGACAACAUUGGACACAACAAAAACACUAUCAGAUUGUGAUAUUUUUAAUAUGAUUGAGGAUUCAGAGACAAAUAUGGAAGGAGUUUUGCUAUCACCACAACCUCGUUUAGACUACAGUUUCGGUUGGGAUGAUUUGGAAAACGAUGAUGCUGAGAUGGUGCUUUGGAGCUACUCUAUUUGAUGUCAUAGUAGUUUUGGAUAGUAAAGUGCGUGAAACACAAAAAUAAAGAAGCAAGAUAUAGUAUAUGUGUGUAUUCCAGUUUGAUUGAAUAGAGCGUAGGUGAGUCAAGUUGAUCUGGUAUUUGCUUUUGAAGUCCAAUCACCCAGACAGCUUACUAUAAGACAAAAAGUAAGAGGAAAAAAUAUCAAGCUGGUAACAGUGCAAGAACUUUGGAUAGAAUGCUUUGACUGUAUUGAUUUUCUUGUAUUUUCCUUUGUACAGUUACAAUAUAUAUGAAGAAUGGAAAAGAAUAUUGGCUUAAAAACCGACUUAAGAGUGGUCCAC